GACGAACGCUGGCGGCGUGCUUAACACAUGCAAGUCGAGCGGUAAGGCCCUUUCGGGGUACGACGAGCGGCGAACGGGUGAGUAACACGUGGGUGACCUGCCCUCAGCUCUGGGAGUAAGCCUGGGAAACCGGGUCUAAUACUGGAUAUGACUCCAUGACGCAUGUUGUGGGGUGGAAAGCCUUGUGCGGCUGAGGAUGGGCCCGCGGCCUAUCAGCUUGUUGGUGGGGUGAGGCCUACCAAGGCGACGACGGGUAGCCGGCCUGAGAGGGCGACCGGCCACACUGGGACUGAGACACGGCCCAGACUCCUACGGGAGGCAGCAGUGGGGAAUCUUGCGCAAUGGGCGAAAGCCUGACGCAGCGACGCCGCGUGAGGGAUGACGGCCU
RNAcentral lists this ribosomal RNA (388 nucleotides) under uncultured bacterium. RNAcentral's name for it is "bacterial SSU rRNA". It matches the Rfam family "Bacterial small subunit ribosomal RNA", at positions 28 to 417 of the family's 1533-position model. The record is from RNAcentral.